This is a long non-coding RNA of Humulus lupulus (European hop), 978 nucleotides long. RefSeq lists it as uncharacterized. The record is from RefSeq and is a predicted model, not a curated record. NCBI's taxonomy places the organism in Eukaryota, Viridiplantae, Streptophyta, Magnoliopsida, Rosales, Cannabaceae. The transcript is spliced from 4 exons.
CCAAACAAACGUGGACGCCAUAAAGGAUUGAACACGCGGGAAAAAAGGGAACAGUUGGGGCGUCCUCUCCCUCACGAGUGGGAUGUACGGGGGAGAACAUAUAAAGAGAUCGGAGAGUACAACUCAAAUUUCUCAAGAGAGCUCGGAUUACUUGUUCGACAGUACACAGAUCCGGACUGUCCUCAAUGGUCAAAAGUACCAAAUGCCUCGAAAGAAAGAAUACUUGCACAUUUGGAAAUAUGGAGAAGGGCAUAUGCCUGGGAUCUUGAGAGGCAUUGAUACUUCGUGUGCUAAAAAGUAUUCUGACUGGAAGUACGAUAUUAAAGAGCAUUUAACGAUUAAUGGGCCACAAAAUCGUUAUGGUGGUUGCACGGAUACGCAGUGGCAAAAAGACAUUGAAUUUUUCCGACGCCUAGAAAUUACGGUAUUAAUUUCUUGCUAAACUUAACUAUCUUAAUUAAAUAUAUUACUAACGAUAACUUUUUGCAGAAACGUUAUGUGGUCAACAAGGAAAAUAGGAAGAAACUGAAAGAGCUUAGCUAUGGAGGUUCUCAGUCAAUCCCAGCCCUGCGCUAUAAAAAACGCAAUUUAGAGACUGGGCAACUUGAGCUCAUCCCGGAUAGCUGGAUGGAUACUCACCAUAAAUCAGGCACAGGGUGGGUGACAGAGACAGCCAAAAAUACUUGGGAGGAAUUGCGUGCAUAUCGCGACACACAGCAGACACAGACAACUGAUACUGAGAGUUCCACACCAGUUUCGAGUGCGCCUGAAGAUGAAGACAUAUCUUUGGUACAAACUGUCUUCGGAAAACGACGGGGCCACCAGAAAGGAUAUGGAUGUAUCCUUAACAUAAGGAACCGAACUCCAUUUGAUUUUCGUCCUUCACAAACUAGAGAUGAAGAGUUGUCUGAUAUGAGAGAGCGUCUUCGACAGUUAGAGGAGCAUGUCCGGACUCAUUGUAUCACCCCGGGAUCUCAA